Molecule: long non-coding RNA, 1090 nt
Filed under: Bos indicus x Bos taurus (hybrid cattle)
Lineage: Eukaryota; Metazoa; Chordata; Mammalia; Artiodactyla; Bovidae
Description: lncRNA (ENSBIXG00005002118.1)
Source: RNAcentral
AUGGGGUACUGGGUUCUUCCCUGCUCCCUCCCACCCAGCCUCCUUACACACACACACACACACACACACACACACACCCCCCCCCACCCUGCUUCCAACCACUCUUUGCCCUGUUUAAGUUUAGCCCAGCCCUGUUCAUUCCUCCACACCCUCUGCCCGGAUCCUCCCUGUGGACCUGACCAUGCUAGCCCCUCCCCAUCCUUUACAAAUACUCCUGAGGACAGCCAGCACCUUAGAUCGCCUAUUGCCCCCUGUUCUGCACUCCCAGGUGUUCCUUUUGUCAUUCCCUGUGCCUGCUCCAAAAAGAUGGAGCCACGUAAGUACUAUGGUGGGAGGCCGUAGCGUGGAAGAAGGAAUAAGAAGGAAGGGAGGGUCAUGAAGUCAGGGGCAAUCAGUCAGUCACAUCUACUGCAAGCCGUGUGUGUGUGUGGUGGUAGGGUUCCAAAAUGAAAACAAGCCCUAUGUUUUUAAUACACUCUACAGUUUAAGACACAUGCCUACACAUCCUUCAUGUCACUAGGUCUUCAACUUCAGGAAUGAAACAAACAGGGGCUCCCUCCAUUGUACAUGUGAGCUCCAGGGAAGUUAUCGGUCUUUCUCAGGGUGAGGCCCUGGAGGUGUGGCAGGAUCUGGGGCUCAGAACUCACCUCUCAGCAGCUAUGACAUUGGCUCCCCUCAAAAGGAACAAAAGACCAUGAUGGCCCUCAAUAUAAAUCUCAUCAAGUAGGUGAUUCCCACCAACAGAGCACUACAAAAUACUCAGGACCAGUCAGAUAGGUUAUGGCAAGAAUGAGCCCACUGGACCCGAAGCUGGGCAGGCAAGGCAGGCAGGAUGGUCCAACCCAAGCGAACUUCCUCCAGGAAUGUAACACAGAGUGAAGCAAGAAAGAUUUCCAAGUGGCAGGAGACAAGAGCAAAGUCUGAGAGCUGGAACCAGAAGGUUAUAAUCAGGAGCAAAGAAACAGCUGAGGAUCUGAGCAGAGAUCAGCCUGAGAAAAGUGGAAUCUGGGGGGAGGGAGCAGAGGAGGAGGCUAUGUGGGGCCCACCUGAAGAUGUAAAUAAAAGAACCAGGGCUCCUCCUUUAGCGUCA